AAAAAUGGUGUCAACACAUGCCCCCCAGAGUCAGAGUGAAACAUAUCUUUUGCUUCAAAAUUAUCUCAACCAUGAUUUUCACCUUCCCUGGGAAAACGCCGAUGCUUACCAAUCACCAAGUAACAAGAUCUUUUCUAUUCUGAAAUUUGCUCAGUCAUGAUUACAUGAAAAAGUGUCUGGGGGUAACAGCUAUUCGGGUUUCGCGUAGGCGGCAGAUGAGAUACCAUAUUUACCCUCUCAGGUGAGUUUAUAAAUUUACAGCCGUCAUCUUCUUCUUCCCCACCGGUUCAUCUUCUCGCACUGCCACACCUUGCUUCCACUUUCCUCCAAGCGAAAGGUGACAUUUGAUGACUCCCAUCGACCAUCAGCGAUCUCCAGCGACCAUCGGUGAUUCAUUUGCUAAUCGCCUCAAACUCCAAACCUUAGGCAACCAGCUCCAUGGCCACUCUUACCACCGUCCCCGAGGUACAUCUCUCUGCCUUCGUCAUUUUCCCCGUGCUUCUAUUUUCCUAUCCUUACUUAGCCAUUUUCGCAUUUCUCAGGAGCUUAGAGAUAGAAUCACCAUCCCCAUAGCUGACACCCC
This 583-nucleotide long non-coding RNA is filed under the name Setaria viridis. RNAcentral's name for it is "long non-coding RNA (SVIR_LNC004280)". The record is from RNAcentral. Lineage: Eukaryota; Viridiplantae; Streptophyta; Magnoliopsida; Poales; Poaceae.